RNAcentral lists this unclassified non-coding RNA (345 nucleotides) under soil metagenome. Its description in RNAcentral is "partial contains 5.8S ribosomal RNA, internal transcribed spacer 2, and large subunit ribosomal RNA". The stretch from base 1 to 119 matches the Rfam family "5.8S ribosomal RNA", at positions 35 to 154 of the family's 154-position model. The record is from RNAcentral.
GAUGAAGAACGCAGCGAAAUGCGAUACGUAAUGUGAAUUGCAAAUUCAGUGAAUCAUCGAGUCUUUGAACGCACAUUGCGCCCCCUGGUAUUCCGGGGGGCAUGCCUGUCCGAGCGUCAUUGCUGCCCUCAAGCACGGCUUGUGUGUUGGGCCCCGUCCUCCGAUCCCGGGGGACGGGCCCGAAAGGCAGCGGCGGCACCGCGUCCGGUCCUCGAGCGUAUGGGGCUUUGUCACCCGCUCCGUAGGCCCGGCCGGCGCUUGCCGAUCAACCCAAAUUUUUAUCCAGGUUGACCUCGGAUCAGGUAGGGAUACCCGCUGAACUUAAGCAUAUCAAUAAGCGGAGGA